AACUUUCAACAACGGAUCUCUUGGUUCUGGCAUCGAUGAAGAACGCAGCGAAAUGCGAUAAGUAAUGUGAAUUGCAGAAUUCAGUGAAUCAUCGAAUCUUUGAACGCAUAUUGCGCCCCUUGGUAUUCCGGGGGGCACACCUGUUCGAGCGCCAUUUAAACCCUCAAGCAAAGCUUGGUGUUGGGUUAGGCCCUAAAAAUGGGACCAACCCGUAACUUGUAGGCGGUCACUCAUCCGCUCCCCCAGCGUAGCAGGCUUAUGGCACUCGCUUUUGGGACUUAUGGUGAUUCUGCUCACUAAAUUUUCAAAAGGUUUGGCCUCGGAUCAGGUGGGGAUACCCGCUGAACUUAAGCAUAUCAAUAAGCGGAGGAAAAGAAACCAACAGGGAUUGCCUCAGUAACGGCGAGUGAAGCGGCAAUUGCUCAAAUUUGAAAUCUGACUUCCUUUGGAGGUUCGAAUUGUAAUUUGUAGAGGAAGCUUCGGUAAAGGUAUAGGUUUAAGUCCCCUGGAACGGGACGUCAUAGAGGGUGAGAACCCCGUCCGACUGAUUACCUGAACCAUGUGUUGCUCCUUCGACGAGUCGAGUUGUUUGGGAAUGCAGCUCAAAAUGGGUGGUAAAUUCCAUCUAAGGCUAAAUAUUGGCCAGAGACCGAUAGCGCACAAGUAGAGUGAUCGAAAGAUGAAAAGCACUUUGAAAAGAGAGUUAAAAAGCACGUGAAAUUGUUGAAAGGGAA
This 734-nucleotide unclassified non-coding RNA is filed under the name uncultured Dothideomycetes. RNAcentral's name for it is "sequence contains 5.8S rRNA gene, ITS2, 28S rRNA gene". The stretch from base 315 to 734 matches the Rfam family "Eukaryotic large subunit ribosomal RNA", at positions 1 to 418 of the family's 3401-position model. The record is from RNAcentral. Lineage: Eukaryota; Fungi; Ascomycota; Dothideomycetes.